UACGUAGGGUGCAAGCGUUAAUCGGAAUUACUGGGCGUAAAGCGUGCGCAGGCGGUUGUGCAAGACCGAUGUGAAAUCCCCGGGCUUAACCUGGGAAUGGCAUUGGUGACUGCACGGCUAGAGUGUGUCAGAGGGGGGUAGAAUUCCACGUGUAGCAGUGAAAUGCGGAGAGAUGUGGAGGAAUACCGAUGGCGAAGGCAGCCCCCUGGGAUAACACUGACGCUCAUGCACGAAAGCGUGGGGAGCAAACAGG
RNAcentral lists this ribosomal RNA (253 nucleotides) under uncultured bacterium. RNAcentral's name for it is "partial 16S ribosomal RNA". It matches the Rfam family "Bacterial small subunit ribosomal RNA", at positions 524 to 776 of the family's 1533-position model. The record is from RNAcentral.